RNAcentral lists this ribosomal RNA (559 nucleotides) under Paratylenchus nanus. Its description in RNAcentral is "partial large subunit ribosomal RNA". It matches the Rfam family "Eukaryotic large subunit ribosomal RNA", at positions 367 to 773 of the family's 3401-position model. Lineage: Eukaryota; Metazoa; Nematoda; Chromadorea; Rhabditida; Tylenchulidae. The record is from RNAcentral.
CAAAGCACUUUGAAGAGAGAGUUAAAGAGGACGUGAAACCGGUAGGAUGGAAACGGAUAGAGCCAGCGAAGUCGCUCGUAUUCAGCCAAAGGCCGGUGGCAUCGGUGGGUCGGGUUGCUAAUCACGCCUGGCCAGCCUUUUGUCCACCGGUUGAGGUGCAUUUGCGGGCGUUUGCGCUGAGACUUGCGAGUCAGCUUCUGGACCCGGGCCUAGAGGCCGUCCUCUGGGCGGAACCUUGGCACGGCGACGGUUGUUUGGCCUGCUCGUACCACGGCUUGGCCUACGGACCUGGGCGGCUGGUGUCGUCUGCUUGUGGUGGCAUCGCAUGCGAUGACCCACCUGUGGGCGGCUCAGUCGUUUGGCGUUCCCAAGUCGGCUCUCGGUGUAAAAGCUGGUCACCUAUCCGACCCGUCUUGAAACACGGACCAAGGAGUUUAGCGUAUGCGCGAGCCAUUGGGUGUUCAAAACUCACAGGCACAAUGAAAGUGAAGGCCCAGCCGCUGGGCUGACAUGCGAGUUGGCGGCUCACGGGCCGUCGAUGCAGCAUGGUCCCAUUUCG